GUGUCGCAGCGAAAGCGAUAAACACACCGCCUGGGGAGUNCGACCGCAAGGUUAAAACUCAAAUGAAUUGACGGGGACCCGCACAAGUAGUGGAGCAUGUGGUUUAAUUCGAAGAUACGCGCAGAACCUUACCAACACUUGACAUGUUCGUCGCAACUCUAAGAGAUUAGAGUUUUCGGUUCGGCCGGACGAAACACAGGUGCUGCAUGGCUGUCGUCAGCUCGUGUCGUGAGAUGUUGGGUUAAGUCCCGCAACGAGCGCAACCCUCACUUUUAGUUGCCAUCAUUUAGUUGGGCACUCUGAAAGAACUGCCAGUGAUAAGCUGGAGGAAGGUGGGGANGACGUCAAGUCCUCAUGGCCCUUACGUGUUGGGCUACACACGUGCUACAAUGGUAUCUACAACAGGAAGCAAGACUGCGAGGUCAAGCAAAUCCUUAAAAGAUACCUCAGUUCGGAUUGCACUCUGCAACUCGAGUGCAUGAAGCUGGAAUUACUAGUAAUCGUGGAUCAGCGUGCCACGGUGAAUGCGUUCCCGGGUCUUGUACACACCGCCCGUCACACCAUGGGAGUUGGUUCUACNUUAAGGCAAGGUUUAAAACCCUUGACCACGGUAUAGUCAGCGACUGGGGUGAAGUCGUAACAAGGUAACCGUA
RNAcentral lists this ribosomal RNA (653 nucleotides) under uncultured bacterium. Its description in RNAcentral is "bacterial SSU rRNA". It matches the Rfam family "Bacterial small subunit ribosomal RNA", at positions 843 to 1504 of the family's 1533-position model. The record is from RNAcentral.